GACGAACGCUGGCGGCGUGCUUAACACAUGCAAGUCGAACGAAGUGGCGAACGGGAGAGUAACGCGUAAUCAACCUGCCCUUCAGAGGGAGACAACAGUAGGAAACGACUGCUAAUACCGCAUCCGGAAGGAGGGGGAUGCGUUUGAUUUGCUAGUUGGAGGGGUAACGUCGCACCAAGGCGAUGAUCAGUAGCCGGUCUGAGUGGGUUACCGUCUACAGUGGGACUGAGACACGGCCCCGCCUCAUACGGGAUGCAGCAGGGGGGAGUCUUCCGCAAUGGACGAAAGUCUGAUGGAGCAACGCCGCGUGAGUGAUGACGGCCUUCGGGUUUGAAAGCUCUGUUAAGCGGUACGCGGUACCGUAAUAGAAAGCCACGGCUAACUACGUGCCAGCAGCCGCGGUAAUAC
Molecule: ribosomal RNA, 408 nt
Filed under: uncultured bacterium
Lineage: Bacteria
Description: partial 16S ribosomal RNA
Rfam family: Bacterial small subunit ribosomal RNA
Source: RNAcentral